GAUGAAGAACGUAGCGAAAUGCGAUAAGUAAUGUGAAUUGCAGAAUUCAGUGAAUCAUCGAAUCUUUGAACGCACCUUGCGCCCUUUGGCCAUUCCGAAGGGCAUGCCUGUUUGAGUAUCAUGAACACCUCAACUCUUCAUGGUUUUCCGUGAUGAGCUUGGACUUUGGGGGUCUUGCUGGCCUAUGGUCAGCUCCUCUAAAAUAAAUCAGCUUGCCAGUGUUCGGUGGGUAUCACAGGUGUGAUAACUAUCUACGCUUGUGGUUUUCCACCAGGUAACCUUCAGCAGUGGAGGUUCGCUGGAGCUCACAGAUGUGUCUCUCCUCAGUGAGGACAGCUCUUUGAAUGUUUGAUCUCAAAUCAGGUAGGACUACCCGCUGAACUUAAGCAUAUCAAUAAGCGGAGGA
This 406-nucleotide unclassified non-coding RNA is filed under the name soil metagenome. RNAcentral describes it as "partial contains 5.8S ribosomal RNA, internal transcribed spacer 2, and large subunit ribosomal RNA". The stretch from base 1 to 121 matches the Rfam family "5.8S ribosomal RNA", at positions 35 to 154 of the family's 154-position model. The record is from RNAcentral.